Molecule: long non-coding RNA, 7040 nt
Filed under: Lactuca sativa (garden lettuce)
Lineage: Eukaryota; Viridiplantae; Streptophyta; Magnoliopsida; Asterales; Asteraceae
Description: long non-coding RNA (LSAT_LNC003824)
Source: RNAcentral
CGAGUAGGGUCAGUCAGGAGUUGACUUUGACCUUGUCUUUGUCCAAGGGUUGACCAAUGGUGUCCAGGGGCAUUUUGGUAAUUAUUGUUUGUUGUUUUGAGUUCAGCGCAUUGGUGGUUGACCAGUGGUGGAGAUCGUAUCAGUGAUCGGAGUAGCUUGGAUUAUCUGUUCAGUCGGCAGCUUCGAGGUGAGUUAUCCUCACUAUAUCAACGGGGUCUAAGGCACCAAGGCCGGCCCUUAUCGGAUUGAGAUCCGGGUAGUUGUUUUUAUGUUACUGCUUUAUCAUGUUUGCAUCCUGUGAGUUAGGAUGGUAUAUGCUAGAGACCUGAUUGAGAUCGGUAUCCAGAGAGAUAGGGAGAUGCUAUGUUAGUGACCUGUUAGGUCGGUAUCCUGGUUAGGAUAGUGGCAUGUUAUGUGAUCUGUUGAUCUGCUUGUUAUCUGUGAAUUGUUAGAUGAUUGUAUGUAUAUGUGCACAUGGAUGUUUGGACUGGAGUUGGGUUGAGGCGGGUCCUGCUGUGUGCAGUAGGCCAAGAUACCCAGGGCGGACCGGUUGUCCCGUAGGCCCAGCGAGCGGUCCGGAUAGGCUGUAGGUCCCGGUAGGGGCGGACCAGACGUGCCGAAGGCUCGGAGAGUGGACCAGACAGACUGAAGGCCCGGUGCGGGCGGACCAGUCAUACUGUAGACUCAGAGAGUGGACCAGGUGGAUUGAAGGCCCGGGAACGGGCGGACCAAUCACACUGCAGACUCGAUGUAUGCGGAUUGACUCAGAGGGUGGACCAGGUGGACUGUUGGCCGGUGCGGCGGACCAGUCACACAGUAGACCCGGAGAGCAUGGCUGUUCUAUGAUCGGAUAUGUUAUGGCAUGUUAUGCGUGUAUGGUAUUUGUGGUUGGUAUUUUGGGGGUAUCUCACUAAGCUUUCGGGCUUACAGUUGUGGUUUCAUGUUUUUCAGGUUCUUCAGGAGAUCGUGGCAAGGCGAAGGCGUGAUCGUACCGCUCCUCAUAAUUUUGUGGUGUUAUGAUUCUGGGAAUACGAUAAAUAUUUUGUAUUGAAAACCUUUUUGUAAAGAAUUAUUGGAAUUGAGAUGUUUUUGAAAAAUUUAAAAUUGGUUGUGUUUUUCGGUCGUUACAAGUUGGUAUCAGAGCCUUGGUUUGAGUGAAUUGGAGAAACACUCGUGUGACUCCAGUCUCAAAUCGAGGAGAGUUUUCGAAAGAGUAAUUAAAAACGGUUUUCAAAAAUGAGUAAAGGAGGACGCGGAGGUACGAUCAGCCGGAGCUAGUAAGUAACCCCAAAAUACCAUGCAUGUUAUUUGUUUUUGAGCUUUGAUAGAACAGCAUGCUAGUGUUAGGCUAGGGAUCUUCAGGAUUUCAUGAUAUGUUGCCUGAUUUGUGAUGCCUGUAGCCUAGGGUCCCUUAUGGGAGAUUCUCAGUGUUUCUCUAGUGGUGAGGGUUGAUUAUUGUUAUGCUUGUUCUCUAGGGUAUUGUGGUAGUACUUCAUACAAAUGUGGGUAGGUGUGGAAGGUAGUAUGGGCCCGUACUACUGAAAGCACAGGACCCAUACGCGUAUCAGGGAAACCAUGAUCUCUAGGGUGGGUUGAGAGAGAGUUGGAUCCCAGGGUGUGGGAAGAGUCUGAGAUUUUGUGUGGUGUUUCCUUUCAGUAUGGAGAUUCCGAGGCAUGAUGAGAGUGGAUCCGGGUCAGGAUCGGGAGCUGGAGAGAGGGUUCCGGGCGAAUCAGUGCCGCCCGAGAUUGUCGGUCAGAUGAGCACGAGCGAGUUGGACGCGAGGAUUCGUGAGAUCCUGCGUGAGGAGAUUGCGGAGUUGUUCCGGGCUGAGUUGCCAGAGCUGUUUGGGUCGAUUAAGACCGCCAUGGUUGAGUAUUUUGAUGAGCGUUAUGCGGCUCUCACCGAGACGGCUACCGCGGCGGCUACAACAGCUGUAGCAGCGGCAGGGGGAGGAGCUAGUCGGGGUUUUCAGUAUCGGGACUUCGAUAGGACGAAGCCUCCCACAUUCGACGGAGUUCAGGACCCGAUUGUUGCUAUGAGGUGGUUGUCAGACGUGGAGGGAUGUUUCUUCACGUGUUCAUGCCCUGCUGAUCAUAGGGUGAGGUGUGCUCUGAACCUGUUGAGGCUCGGGGCGAAGGAUUGGUGGAGAUUGACCACGGGGUCAUUUUCGGAGGCGCAGAGGGCUGCGGUUUCAUGGGAUCAGUUCAGAGAAAUGUUCAGUACUCGUUAUGUUCCGCAGGUUGAGAGGGAGAGAUUGGCUCAGGAGUUCCUUGAGCUGAAGCAGGAUUCGGAGUCGGUGACUGAGAUCACUAGGAUGUUCACUAAGAGGGCGAUGUUUUUCCCAGAGUUCGCUUCGGAGCAGGCCCAUAUGUCCCGAUAUCUGAGCAUGCUCAAGAGGGACAUCAGACAGUUUGUGUCUGCGUAGAGGUGCGAGACCUUGUUGGAGUUGCAGGAGGCCGCUAGGCGGCGUGAGUUAGAGAUUGAGUUGCAGUUGCGUGAGCUGAGGCAGGCUCCGGUGCAGUCGCAGCCGGCGCCGAAACGGUCCAAGACCGUUGAUGUUAGAGUGGGGGAUCUGAGCAGCCACACUUGUGGGAAGUGUGGGAGGGGUCACACCGGAGUUUGUAGGUCCGGUGGUGCAUGCCGCAAGUGCGGAAGGGAGGGGCACUAUGCGAGGGAUUGUCGGCAGUCAGCGCCAGCUCGGGAUUUGAGGAUCUGUUAUCAUUGUCAUCAGGUUGGAAAUUUGAGGGCCAACUGUCCACAGUUUGCUGUUGGAUCGGUGCAGGCUCCAGCACCGGCCACUUUGAGGAUCACAGGUGGAGGUCAGGGUGGAGCGGAGCCCCCAAGGGCUCAGGGUCGUGUUUUUCAGCUUGUUGCAGAGGAGGUCAGGGCAGUGCCAGAGACAGCUGCGGGUAUGUUUCUUUCUUGAUGUCUUGUUAUCUUGUGAUUAUUGUGGUGUAAUGUUCAUGAGCCGGUAAUUGUUUGGUUUUCGUUGUGAUAUUCUUCGUUUUGCGGGUUGUGGUUUGGGUUAUGGAUUUGUGUUUCGGGUUUUCGUCUUGGUAUCCGUUGUUCCCUGAGGGUUUGAUAUGAUUAUGGUAAGUGUUUUGGUGCUUUCGUUGGUUAUCGUUCGUAAGGGUUGUUAGUGGAGAUGCGGCAUUGGGUUAUACAUCAGGUAGCAUCUUCGUUCGUGGAAGGGAUAAUUGGAGAUCGGAUUCUUCUUGAGCGGAUUAAUCAGUGAGGAGAUGUGUUUUGAUAAGGGUUGUUUAUGCUUGUGGAAGCGGCCCGUGUGUAAGUGGUCUCUUGGUGCAGGGUUGUUUUGGAAGGUCGUUGAUGGCGGCUGGCGGUUGUUAGUCAGUGCUAUAGUGGGGGAGAAUUGGAGAAUUCUCCGGGAGAUCGAUGAGUAUUUGAGGGUGCUUAGCUGUUGGGAUUCAGCAGUGUUCUGUCAGCCUAGAGUAUAGGCUGAUAGGAGCAAGUGUCGGGCAUGCGGGGCGGGAUACAGAUGUAUGGCAUUGGUUAUGGAGGCCUGGAAGCAGGCCGGGAUCGAGUAUGUCGAUGGAGUUAGAGUUCGGAACCCCUAGAGGGCUAGAACGGUAUGCAUGGGAGGAUUCCCGAGGGGGAUAGCAUGGAAUGUUGGUUGAUAGUGAGCGGUCCGGAUAGACUGAAGGCCGGAAGGCGUACCAGUCAGACCGAAGGCUCGGAGAAUGGUCCAGCCAAACUGAAGGCUCUGAGAGCGGUCCAGAUUGGCUGAAGGUUCUGAGAGAGUGGUCCAGAUGGACUGAAGGCCUGAUGAGGCGGUCCAGUCAUGCUGAAGACUCUGCGGGUAUUGUUGGAUCAGUUUGAGAUUGCUGAUUGUGUAUGUUGCAGUGUGAUUGCAUUGGAAGGUCUGGCCCCGGGUAGUGAUUUUGAUGAGUUGAGAGAAUGCAUGGGAUUGAGAGCCCCUGCAAUGAGAGCCAGAGUAUGUGAAUCGCGGUUACGCAAAAAGGGUGGUGUCGCAUUGGGCGAGCACCGUGGCACGUGUUGGAGUGGCAAUGUGGCCAAGUGGAUUCCUUGGAAAAGGAAGAGAGAAAGGUGUGUAACUCCGAAGGGGAGUGCAAGUUCACGAAAGUGAAAGCUGCAGAGCAGAGUUAUGAUUAGAGUAUUUCGAGUAUGGUUUUGGGCAUCGUGCUCGCGGCAGUGAAGUAGGAGCUCAUCCGGUUUGGGAUGUCUGCUGAGGUUGCGGAAGGAAUUCCGCAGGUGUAGAGCCCAGAGGCUUGGAAAGGAUGCAGGGGGAGAGUCCUGGACUCUCAGUAUGAUUCUGUUCAGGGUAUUGGUUAUGUAUUAGUGGUUCAUCCUGGGGGAUGUUUGAGGGUGUCAUCAGUGUGUCGGGUUUUCCAAACCUGAGGAUACUGGAGCUAGUUCAGCAUGUGUAUGUGUUUGUAAGAGGAGGACUCGUGGGAGUGCUCUGAGAUAGAGAAUGGGUUUUCCGUCGUCACGGAAUGGAUAGAGUGGGAUUCGGAUCGGGGAUCCGAUGGUUCAUGGUUUUCUAGCCUUUAUGAGUCGAGUGAUGGUUGUGAUUUGGAGCAGUGUUGCAUUAUGGGUAAUUCUCAGGGGUUAAGUGAAGUUAUUAGAGGGUGAAUCCGGUGCCCUAUUUGAGACGGUGGUCAGGACACCGUGAGGGAAGGAAAGUGUAUUCGAGUUUCGUUUAGGUAUGCCUCGAGGGACCUGGUCUGGUUGAGGCCAGGUGGCGCGUAGCGGGAGUAUCUUUGGAGUUGAGCUGCUAUAGGCUUCGAGGGCGAAGCCUAAUAUAAGUGGGGGAGAAUUGUAACAUCCCGAAAUAGCAAGAGUAGAGUUGAAGGGCUAAAAGUGUUAUUUGAGGAAGAGUGACUCGGCGAGUCCAUGGAUGGACUCGGCGAGUACAGUCGCGAAUUUGGUCGCGUGUUAAGUAGCCGACUCGGCGAGUCGAUGAGAUGGACUCGGCGAGUAGGCGCUGGGUGGAGAAAACCCUAAUUCUCGGGGUUGAGCCCUAUAUAAGGAACAUUAUGUUCCUUCCCCAGCCUCUUUACUUCCCUCUUGAGUUCUAGAAACCCUAAAUCGCAGAGGAGCUCCAUUGUUGAGUGGAUUGAAGCUUGGAGAAGUAAUCUUUAAAGGAAUUUGUGGGAAUUGAAGGCUUGGGGCAAGGGGCUUUGCUUGGAAUCAACUUCAUUGCAGUUGGGGGCGUCCAUUGGAGGUAAUAUCUCGUUCUUGGUCUGAUUGUAUGUUGUUUCUUCAAUUUGGGGUUUGUGGGAUCUUGUCUAAGGAUGUAAAUGGAAGUCUAGAGGUUAGAUCUGAGGUUGCUACCUCAGAUCUGGAAGGGAGGAGAAUCAGAGAGCAUGAAAGUCCCUGUGUUGGAGUGUUUAGUGAAGCUUGCAAGUCCCAAACCCUAGUUAUAAGUGAUUAAGGCCUAGAUCUCUUGGGAUUCACGUAAAGUUUGCCACUUUACGUGAUGGAUGAGUUGUAUAAGGCUAGAUCUAUGUUUUGGAUCAUUUGCAUGGCCUGGAAUGCUUCUGAAAGGAUUCAGAUCGGUGGUACUCGGCGAGUCACAUGGGUGAACUCGGCGAGUUGCUUGAAGAUGAGCUGGGACUCGACGAGUUGGAAGAACAACUCGGCGAGUCGGAUGAAGAUAGCCUUGAACUCGGCGAGUUGUAUGAACAACUCGGCGAGUAGGUUGAUGAUAGCCUUGGACUCGGCGAGUCUGUUCUUGGACUCGGCGAGUCUUGUCGAAGAGUUCCGAUAUUCUCUGGUUGAGUCGAGAAUCGGUGAGUCAAGGGAUGACUCGGUGAGUUGUGUGCGAGUGGACUCUGAGUUGUUGGACUCGGCGAGUCUCGGGGUGACUCGGCGAGUUAGGUCGCGGAUGGAGUGAAGUCUGAGUAUGGGAACUCGGCGAGUCAUAGGGUUGACUCGGCGAGUAGGGUCAGUCAGGAGUUGACUUUGACCUUGUCUUUGUCCAAGGGUUGACCAAUGGUGUCCAGGGGCAUUUUGGUAAUUAUUGUUUGUUGUUUUGAGUUCAGCGCAUUGGUGGUUGACCAGUGGUGGAGAUCGUAUCAGUGAUCGGAGUAGCUUGGAUUAUCUGUUCAGUCGGCAGCUUCGAGGUGAGUUAUCCUCACUAUAUCAACGGGGUCUAAGGCACCAAGGCCGGCCCUUAUCGGAUUGAGAUCCGGGUGGUUGUUAUUAUGUUACUGCUUUGACAUGUUUGCAUCCUGUGAGUUAGGAUGGUAUAUGCUAGAGACCUGAUUGAGAUCGGUAUCCUGAGAGAUAGGGAGAUGCUAUGUUAGUGACCUGUUAGGUCGGUAUCCUGGUUAGGAUGGUGGUAUGUUAUGUGAUCUGUUGAUCUGCUUAUUGACUGUGAAUUGUUAGAUGAUUGUAUGUAUAUGUGCACAUGGAUGUUUGGACUGGAGUUGGGUUGAGGCGGGUCCUGCUGUGUGCAGUAGGCCAAGAUACCCAGGGCGGACCGGUUGUCCCGUAGGCCCAGCGAGCGGUCCGGAUAGGCUGUAGGUCCCGUUAGGGGUGGACCAGACGUGCCGAAGGCUCGGAGAGUGGAUCAGACAGACUGAAGGCCCGGUGCGGGCGGGCCGGUCAUACUGUAGACUCAGAGAGUGGACCAUGUGGAUUGAAGGCCCGGGAACGGGCGGACCAAUCACACUGCAGACUCGAUGUAUGUGGAUGGACUCAUAGGGUGGACCAGGUGGACUGUUGGCCGGUGCGGCGGACCAGUCACACAGUAGACCCGGAGAGCUUGGCUGUUCUAUGAUCGGAUAUGUUAUGGCAUGUUAUGCGUGUAUGGUAUUUGUGGUUGGUAUUUUGGGGGUAUCUCACUAAGCUUUCGGGCUUACAGUUGUGGUUUCAUGUUUUUCAGGUUCUUCAGGAGAUCGUGGCAAGGAGAAGGCGUGAUCGUACCGCUCCUCAUAAUUUUGUGGUGUUAUGAUUCUGGGAAUACGAUAAAUAUUUUGUAUUGAAAACCUUUUUGUAAAGAAUUAUUGGAAUUGAUAUGUUUUUGCAAAAUUUAAAAUUGGUUGUAUUUUUGGUC